Molecule: ribosomal RNA, 228 nt
Filed under: uncultured bacterium
Lineage: Bacteria
Description: partial 16S ribosomal RNA
Rfam family: Bacterial small subunit ribosomal RNA
Source: RNAcentral
CGGGUGAGUAAUACAUCGGAACGUGUCUUCUAGUGGGGGAUAACUGCCCGAAAGGGCAGCUAAUACCGCAUGAGACCUGAGGGUGAAAGCGGGGGAUCGCAAGACCUCGCGCUGGAAGAGCGGCCGAUGUCCGAUUAGCUAGUCGGUGAGGUAAAGGCUCACCAAGGCGACGAUCGGUAGCUGGUCUGAGAGGACGACCAGCCACACUGGGACUGAGACACGGCCCAG